Molecule: long non-coding RNA, 535 nt
Filed under: Ursus americanus (American black bear)
Lineage: Eukaryota; Metazoa; Chordata; Mammalia; Carnivora; Ursidae
Description: lncRNA (ENSUAMG00000000658.1)
Source: RNAcentral
AUGCGCACAACUCACUGGCUUCCUUCUCAAACUGGAAAUCCAAGUCCACAAAGCUGGAGUGGGAAACCACAUUCAUCUGGCCGGCCGCAGAGGCCCAUUGAGAAGGAGCAGAUCUGGGCUGCAGAAGAUGGCAGGAGGCAGGAGAUGCAACUGAAGAGAAGAGGGUCUGACAGCAAGUUGCUGACCCAGCUUCUAGCACAGCUGCCCUCUUCCACAGAAUGGGAAGAAGGAACCUUUUGUGCCUCUCUGUACCAUCAUCCUCAACACUCGGUAGAAAACAAGCAAGACCCUUCUAUCUUGGAGAAGUCUGGCCACUUGUUCCGUAGAGGCAGCUGUGGAAGGGAGCCAUUCCAUGUGCCAGGAUGAUUGGAGGGAUGAAAUCCCACCUGGGAAACGAGAGCAACAUGGGGAGUAGGCUACAGCCCUGUCUCAGCCACAUGGCCUUGGGCAUGUCCUUUAGCCUUCUGGCACCUCUCUUUCUCUAUCAAACAAGGGGGCUCUAAAGACUUUCCCUCUUCAGUGACCUUGCCUUUAC